Molecule: long non-coding RNA, 1405 nt
Filed under: Salmo salar (Atlantic salmon)
Lineage: Eukaryota; Metazoa; Chordata; Actinopteri; Salmoniformes; Salmonidae
Description: lncRNA (ENSSSAG00000116458.1)
Source: RNAcentral
GGAGAAAACAGGGCUGAAACACGUCAGCGUGGAGAAAACAGUGCUGAAACACGUCAGCGUAGAGAAAACAGGGCUGAAACACAUCAGCGUGGAGAAAACAGGGCUGAAACACGUCAACGUGGAGAAAACAGGGCUGAAACACGUCUAUGUGGAGAAAACAGGACUGAAACAUCUACGUGGAAGAAACACGGCUGAAACACAUCUGCGUGGAGGAAACAAGCAAUAUUUCAAAAAAACACUUUCCGUCACAGAAUAUGUAUCGCCCCCGAUAUGUGGUAAUUGCUACAGUUGAAAAUACAGUGCCGUGUGUCAGUGUAAAAUGGAAGUGCAAAUGAAUUCUUCAAUUAAUAUACCUCUGUCAGAAUACUGUGUCCCAAAUGGAUCACUACUCCCUUUGUAGUGCACAACUUUUGACCAAAGUCCAUUGGCCUAUUCUUUGAAUUGACACUCCUUGUCGCUAACUGAUUGACUGACAGUAAGAUGUCAUUGGCCAUUCACAAAGUGGGGACCAAUAUAUUACAAGUAACAUGUUAUUAUCCCUCAGCAGUGUUCCUUCUCAUUCAGAUUUCUCUAAUAUAGAUAUUACCAUGGGGAGAAUCCUACAGCUGCCAAUAGCUCAGGCCAUCUACUGCACAUCUGAGGCUCAUUGUAAUGCACUGGAGAUGCAGCGGACAGCAGGGGUUUAGCAGUCUGAUAAUGAGUCAGAGUGAAGGAGCCUGUGUGUGCGUGCGUGCAUGCAUGCGUGCGUCGUUAAGCCCCUGAAGGUCUCUUCAGGAGAUUGGAGCGAUGGCCUUGACCUAAUUACAGACAAAGCACCAUGGUGGUUGAGUAUAACAAUUACCAGUUCCCAGCUGCUGAUGUUCCUCUGGUGGUACCCCUCCUCAUGACUCUUCCUGAAGGCAUCACCUCCACUUCGACCCCCACGACCCUUGCUAACAGUACUGUGGUCACUAUGGUCAUGGUCAAUGUGGUCAUCGUGACCAUGGUCAUCUUUGUGUCCCUCUUGAUCCUCUUCGUGGAUUCCACCCAGUUGCAGGCUCUUCAUAAGACCUUCCAGCUCUACAGAGAUUAAUCACAAUGAUAUGGUUAGUUGGUGGUAGAGUAUAUUAGCAGGCCAUUGAGGAACAGUAAUAUAGUGGUAGAGUAUAUUAGCAGGCCAUUGAGGAACAGUAAUAUGCUGGUAGUGUAUAUUAGCAGACCAUUGAGGAACAGUAAUAUGGUGGUAGAGUAUAUUAGCAGGCCAUUGAGGAACAGUAAUAUGGUGGUAGAGUAUAUUAACAGGCCAUUGAGGAACAGUAAUAUGCUGGUGGAGUAUAUUAGCAGACCAUUGAGGAACAGUAAUAUGGUGGUAGGGUAUAUUAGCAGGCCAUUGAGGAACAGUAAUAUGGUGGUAGAGUAUAUUAAC